RNAcentral lists this ribosomal RNA (496 nucleotides) under uncultured bacterium. RNAcentral describes it as "partial 16S ribosomal RNA". It matches the Rfam family "Bacterial small subunit ribosomal RNA", at positions 30 to 523 of the family's 1533-position model. The record is from RNAcentral.
AUUGAACGCUGGCGGAAUGCUUUACACAUGCAAGUCGAACGGUAGAGGGGGCAACCCCUCGAGAGUGGCGAACGGGUGAGUAAUAUAUCGGAACGUGCCCAGUCGUGGGGGAUAACGUAGCGAAAGUUACGCUAAUACCGCAUACGAUCUAAGGAUGAAAGCGGGGGAUCGCAAGACCUCGCGCGAUUGGAGCGGCCGAUAUCAGAUUAGGUAGUUGGUGGAGUAAAGGCACACCAAGCCAACGAUCUGUAGCUGGUCUGAGAGGACGACCAGCCACACGAGAACGGAGACACGGUCCAGACUCCUACGGGAGGCAGCAGUGGGGAAUUUUGGACAAUGGACGCAAGUCUGAUCCAGCCAUUCCGCGUGCAGGAUGAAGGCCCUCGGGUUGUAAACUGCUUUUGUACGGAACGAAAAGGUCUCUCUUAAUACGGGGGACUCAUGACGGUACCGUAAGAAUAAGCACCGGCUAACUACGUGCCAGCCGCCGCCGUAA